RNAcentral lists this ribosomal RNA (406 nucleotides) under uncultured bacterium. RNAcentral describes it as "partial 16S ribosomal RNA". It matches the Rfam family "Bacterial small subunit ribosomal RNA", at positions 30 to 526 of the family's 1533-position model. The record is from RNAcentral.
AUUGAACGCUGGCGGCAGGCCUAAUACAUGCAAGUCGAACGAGUGGCGGACGGGUGAGUAAUGUAUGGGAAACUGCCUGAUGGAGGGGGCUAAAUACUGGAAACGGUAGCUAAUACCGCAUACCAUCAGAUGUGCCCAGAUGGGAUUAGCUAGUUGGUGGGGUAACGGCUGACCAAGGCGACGAUCCCUAGCUGGUCUGAGAGGGUGACCAGCCACACUGGUACUGGGACACGGUCCAGACGCCUACGGGAGGCAGCAGUGGGGAAUAUUGCACAAUGGGCGAAAGCCUGACGCAGCCAUGCCGCGUGUAUGAAGAAGGCCUUCGGGUUGUAAAGUACUUUCAGCAGGGAGGCGGUACCCACAGAAGAAGCACCGGCUAACUCCGUGCCAGCAGCCGCGGUAAUAC